ACGGGUGAGUAACACGUGGGUAACCUACCCAUCAGAGGGGGAUAACACUUGGAAACAGGUGCUAAUACCGCAUAACAGUUUAUGCCGCAUGGCAUAAGAGUGAAAGGCGCUUUCGGGUGUCGCUGAUGGAUGGACCCGCGGUGCAUUAGCUAGUUGGUGAGGUAACGGCUCACCAAGGCCACGAUGCAUAGCCGACCUGAGAGGGUGAUCGGCCACACUGGGACUGAGACACGGCCCAGACUCCUACGGGAGGCAGCAGUAGGGAAUCUUCGGCAAUGGACGAAAGUCUGACCGAGCAACGCCGCGUGAGUGAAGAAGGUUUUCGGAUCGUAAAACUCUGUUGUUAGAGAAGAACAAGGACGUUAGUAACUGAACGUCCCCUGACGGUAUCUAACCAGAAAGCCACGGCUAACUACGUGCCAGCAGCCGCGGUAAUACGUAGGUGGCAAGCGUUGUCCGGAUUUAUUGGGCGUAAAGCGAGCGCAGGCGGUUUCUUAAGUCUGAUGUGAAAGCCCCCGGCUCAACCGGGGAGGGUCAUUGGAAACUGGGAGACUUGAGUGCAGAAGAGGAG
Molecule: ribosomal RNA, 571 nt
Filed under: uncultured bacterium
Lineage: Bacteria
Description: bacterial SSU rRNA
Rfam family: Bacterial small subunit ribosomal RNA
Source: RNAcentral